CCGCGCAAACAAUAAUCCGUCUCCAUUUUCUCCCCACAUCCAGUUGUAGCUCGGGGCUGAUAAAAUACUGUACUGCUCUUGCUUUUUUGAAAACCAUUUGAAUAUUUCUUUGGCAGGAAAUCGCAUUAUGGGCUAUUAAAAAGUAAUUAUUUGUACAUAAAUUCCCCCGCGACUCGGCGGCGGAAGCGGCUCGAUACAAAGGCAGUUAGGAGCCGCUCUUUACGGGCGCGAGGCGCGUUUAUUAAAAAAGCGCGCGGCUCCUCCAUCAUUCGGCGCGCGACUGCGCGUGUCAGCCACCUCAUAUUUUGUAGCUCAUGCUAAUGUAAUUGCCGCGGCUUUAGCACUGUCAGUGCGGACGGGAGGCGCUCAUUAGCAUUCUUACAAAUGUUUAUUUCGUCGGGUUUUCGUCGGGACGCGCAGGCCCUCAACUCCGGAGAUAUUAGCGCUCUGCUACAACUGCACGCGAGGGGAGCAGCUCCAGAACAUCUCUGUGUACAACGCCUUGGGCAGGGACAAGCAGGCAGGCAGGCAGGCGCAGGGCAGAAACGCACUCUGGAUGGGCCACCGAUCCAUCAUAGAUCAUCUUUUCAGGAGCCAGUGAUGGAGGAGCUGACAGAUGCCUGCCACUCCACAGAGCUGCAACAUGCAGAGCAAUCACACCACAGGCAGCGUCGAUUCAACUUGGGAGGGUGGAAACACCUUGUUGAUGAGAGAUGUCAGAAGAGAAUGGCCAGACUGGUUUGAGCUGAUAGAAGGGCUACGGUAACUCAAAUAACCACUCUUUACAACCAUGGUGAGCAGAAAAGCAUCUAAGAAACACUUUGAAACUUAAGCCUUUACAUCUGCAGACCACAUUAGAAUGCAUUCCUGUCAGAGAAAAAAACAGGAAUCUAAGAAUACAGUGGCACUGAAACUUGACAGUUGAAGAUUGAUAAAACAUUGCCUGAUCUUUUUCCAAUCUUCACCUGCCCAGUUUUAAGUCAAGUACUUAUAUAACUUUACUUCUUGAAUGUGACAACAAGAAGACUUGGAUGUGAGCGCUGCUGCCUGGGACUUGAUUUGAUGUAAGGUACUUGACAACAAAAUAACUAAAAUAAAUUGCGUACUUUAUAACACAAGCAAUGCCAUGUUCCAAAAAAAACUGAAUACUCUAAAAGGCCAGAAGAGGCCAGUAAAUACUUUGUGUAUAUUUACACUUUUUGCAUAAAUAAGAGUUAAAAGUGUCAGUGUCAGUUGUUUGAUAGUAAUUAAAGAUUUGUAUUUCAGAAUAAGUUAGCCUGGCUGGUAACAAAAUCAAGUGCAAAAUAUGCAUAAAUUGUAAAUAAGUCUUCUAUAACCUCCAGACAGGAGUUUGGCUGCAAAGUCACAUUGGAUCUUGUUAUGUCUGCAGAAAAGUGAGCACUUUAUUUAACAUAAAGCAUCGCCUGCGAUUAAGUAUGGUGACGAGAGUGUGAUGACUCAGGAGUACUUUGUUGCUUUAUGUAAUUAUUGACCAAAAUGCUAAUUGUGUUAAACCCCAUAUAGUAAAAAAGACUUUGUGAGCUGCUUACAUCAAGGCCUAGAUGCACAAUGAACAAGUCCAUUUUAGCUUUGUUGAAAAAAAAAGAGGGUUAGUUUUAGUGUCAUUUACAUCGGAUGUAAAUCCACUAAGAUAAUGCAGCAUAACAUGGAUUGAAUUGCUUUUAAUGGGAUUAUUGGAUAUGGGUCUAGUUCCAUGAAUGUUCUAAAGUUUGUGUAUGUGUAAAUGUGUGUGUAUAAACAAUGCAGAUGUGGCAUAACAUGGUUUAAAAUGACUAUUUGGAUAUGGGUUCAGUUAUUGUACUAAAGUCUGUGUAUACAGUCCCCUCUGAAAUUAUUGGAAUGGCAAGGCCAAUUCUUUUUUUUUUUUUUUUUUUUUUGGCUAUACGCUGAAGACAUUUGGGUUUGAUAUCAAAAGAUGAAUAUGAGACAAUAGAUCAGAAUUUCAGCUUGCAUUUCCUGUUAUUUACAUCUACACGUGUUAAACAACUUAGAACAUGGCACCUUUGGUGGCACACCACACAAUUUUAGGCAAGCAAAAGUAUAGGAACAGAUUUACAGUCUGAAAGUAAAUAAUACUUAAUAUUUGGUUGCAUAUCCCCUCCUUGCAAUAACUGCUUCAAUUGACCUACAUCACCAAACUGUUGUAUUCUUCUUUUGUGCUGCUUUUCCAGGUUCGUACCACAGCUUCUUUCAGUUGUUAUUUGUUUUGGUGGGUUUCUAUGUUCAGUCUUCUCUUCAGGAGGUGAAAUGCAUUCUCAGUUGGGUUAAGGUCUGGUGAUUGACUUGGCCAGUCUAAAACUGACCACUUUUUUCCCCUGAUAAAGUCCUUUGUUGUUUUGGGAGUGUGUUUUGGAUUAUUGUCUUGCUGCAUGAUGAAGUUUCUCCCAAUUAGAUAGGAUGCAUUUCUCUGUAAAUUAGCAGACAGAAUGUUUCUGUAGAUUUCUGAAUUCAUUCUGCUGCUACCAUCAUGAGUUACAUAAUCAAUAAAGAUUAGUGAGUCCAUUCCAGAAGCAGCCACGCAAGCCCAAGCCAUGACACUACCUCCACCAUGCUUAACCAAUAAACUCAUAUGUUUUGGAUCAUGAGCAGAUCCUUUCUUUCUACACACUUUGGCCUUUCCAUCACUUUGGUAGAGGUUAAUCUUAGUUACAGAACUUUUGUAAAUACAUCUCUGUAUUCCUUUGUAAAUUCCACUCUGGCCUUAUGAUUCUUACUGCUGAUGAGUGGUUUGAAUCUUGUGUUAGGGCCUCUAUAUUUCUGUCAAAGUCUUCUUCGAACAGUGCCCUGCGCUGUGGAGGCUGUUGGUAAUGUCACUGACUGCUGUUUUUUGGGUUUUCUUCACAGCUCUCACAAGGGUUCUGUCAUCACCUGCUGUUGUUUUCCUUGGCUGAUCUGUUCCAUGUCUGGUUGUUAAUACACCAGUGGUUUCUUUCUUUUUCAGGACAUUCCAAAUUGUUAUUGUCAUUGGCUAGGCCCAAUGCUUGCAGGCUCUGAUCCAUUGUCCCUCUUUUCUCAACUUCAAAAUGGCUUGUUUUUCUCCCAUAGACAGCUCUCUGGUCUUCAUGUUGGUUUAUCCUUUUUAACAAGUGCAGCCUUCACAGGUGAAACUCAAGACUAGACAUUCAGAGCUAUUAAUUAUUUAAACAGUCAAUCUAACAGGGAAUACCUGGGCAACAAGAAACACCUGUCAGUCACAUGUUCCAAUAUUUUUAAUCUCUUGAAAAAUGGAUAGGUUCAAACAAAAGGUGCCAUGUUCUAAGAUGUUUAACACAUCUACACUAGAUAUAAACUUUAGGAGGGGACUGUAUGUGUGAAUGUGUGUAGUAACAUUGCAGAAAGUGGCAGAAGCAACACCUUGUGGAGAGUAGAAUUAAAGAUGAUGAACAACUAGAAAGCUUGAGUCUACAAGAUGAGUGCACACAUGCACACUGACACAUACGUUAUGCAUAAAGGGAAACUAAUAAAGACAUUAAAGACCCAUUAAUUAAAGGCCUGGAAGUAUAGCUAGUGUUAGGUACAAGAAAAAUCUGGAAGGUGUGAACAUAGCACCCUCAUUGGCUGGUUUGUGAUAUGUAAAGUCUUUUGUUUGUUGAUAAAAAUAAAAAUUCACUUCCUGCCACUCUUUUAUAGAUGCUGUUUCUUGAGCGAUAUGUUCAAAGUCUUCUGCAGGCCUUCAUAUAUGAAGGUGUGUACUGCAGGGACGACUGGUGAAGCUAAGCUGUUUGUGCACAGAGAGCUGUGAUUCAUUAUGACCAAGUCCAGUCAUGACAAAUAUGCUUUGUCAUCAGAAAGACAGACUCUUCUGUGCCUAGACAAACUCCAUUCCUCUCUUCCCCCCCACUCAUAUAAACAGGUGCGCAGGGAUAGAGGUGAGGAUCCAUCACACACACACAC
Pangasianodon hypophthalmus (striped catfish) is the source of this 3915-nucleotide long non-coding RNA. RefSeq lists it as uncharacterized. The record is from RefSeq and is a predicted model, not a curated record. Lineage: Eukaryota; Metazoa; Chordata; Actinopteri; Siluriformes; Pangasiidae. The transcript is spliced from 4 exons.